GUUCCGGGCCAGUCCUACUAAUGCAGGAAAGCAGGGAGGUCGUCCCCUAGUGCUCGGGCGUAUAGCGCCGCUGACUUCAUCAAGGCGCGUACUUACCCUGUGUGUAGGAAGCGUUGCAGGGUGUUUCAGUCUCGUGAAAAUUAUUUCUCAUUUCUAAAGAUAUGCCAUUGAUCCUACCGAAAGGUCCUUGGAUCCCUGACCCCCUAGGUGAAGUGGAGACAGCCCAAGGGCAGCACCCCCUGGCCCACAUGCCUACCAAAUGCUGCCAUUUCGUCUGCACCAAGAAGGUUCUAGAGUCUGGAAGUCCAGGAUCAAGGUGCUGUUAGAUUCAAUGUCUGCUGUGGGCCUACCUCCUAGUUCACAGGCAGCCUCCUCCCUGCUGUAUCCACAUGAUCCAUCUGCUUUUCAGUCUACAUCUUGCCUGAGGUCUUCUUGAGGGACUAGGACAGACAGCAAAAGGCUGAGGGACAUGCUCUGCUCUUGUGUUCCAGGAAGAA
Long non-coding RNA from Cebus imitator (Panamanian white-faced capuchin), 497 nucleotides. RefSeq lists it as uncharacterized. The transcript is spliced from 3 exons. The record is from RefSeq and is a predicted model, not a curated record. Lineage: Eukaryota; Metazoa; Chordata; Mammalia; Primates; Cebidae.